CUGUGAACAGUUUAUGAAUCCAGUUGGCUUGCUGUAAAUCUGGGAGGGAUUCUUUGGACAAAGUACCUCGAGUAUUUUGUACUCUUUUAGCUGAAAACAAGUCAUCUUUUUAAUUAUCACUUUGAAAAUAUGUCCACUGGCUAAAUUCAGCAAAAUUUUACAUGUGUGUUGGGAGGUGUUAAGGGCAGCCUGAAAACAACGCUCUUUGCUCUGAAGAGAAAACUUUCAUCAGAGUAAAGGGAAAUUAUUUGGGAUUGAUAUUGACCUGUUAGUUGUUUCUGGAGGGCAAAUAAAGUGGGGAAAAAUCACUCCUGCCCCACAGCCUGUGUUGGUGAGUAGGGGAUGGUCAUGUUUAGCUCACUGAACAGAAAAGAGAAACUACAGAACAGGGAGUGCCUUUUUCUCUCUGCUGCUUUUGCAGGGGAGCUCGGUGGCUCACAUGAGGUCUGAAAAUCUCGGUCAUCACGCCCGCUCUCUUCCCUGUGCCUCCAGGAAAUAUUCUUCCUGCUGCACAGACUUGGAAAGGGUGGCCAUCCCUGCCUUCUGAGCCACAUUUAUGACAAACUUUCAGGAAGAUAAUAUUUCACACCACCCUGAGGUGUCCAGUUCUGCCUGCCCUCUAGGAGGGACAAGGAUGUGAGCCCUGUGUGCAGCUGAUCUCACCUGGGCUUGACACGGUCAUGAACCCCACGGAAGAUAAAGAUGCAGAGGCUUCUUUCAGACAGCAGGCAGAAAACCUGGCUUUAAAAGAGGAGCUCAGGCAGGAAGCAGCAAUGUUCCAGGAGGAUUUCUGAGUCAAGCAGGAGAGCAACUGGCUUCUUGAUGUGUAAAUUUCAAAGAUCCCUAAAACCCUUGGCUGCACAGCCAG
RNAcentral lists this long non-coding RNA (868 nucleotides) under Parus major (Great Tit). Its description in RNAcentral is "lncRNA (ENSPMJG00000006186.1)". Lineage: Eukaryota; Metazoa; Chordata; Aves; Passeriformes; Paridae. The record is from RNAcentral.